RNAcentral lists this ribosomal RNA (498 nucleotides) under uncultured bacterium. RNAcentral's name for it is "partial 16S ribosomal RNA". It matches the Rfam family "Bacterial small subunit ribosomal RNA", at positions 30 to 523 of the family's 1533-position model. The record is from RNAcentral.
AUUGAACGCUGGCGGCAUGCCUUACACAUGCAAGUCGAACGGUAACAGGUCUUCGGAUGCUGACGAGUGGCGAACGGGUGAGUAAUACAUCGGAACGUGCCUAGUAGUGGGGGAUAACUACUCGAAAGAGUGGCUAAUACCGCAUGAGAUCUACGGAUGAAAGCAGGGGAUCUCAAGACCUUGUGCUACUAGAGCGGACGAUGGCAGAGUAGUGAGUGGGUGGGAUAAAAGCUUACCAAGCCGACGAUCUGUAGCUGGUCUGAGAGGACGAUCAGCAACACUGGGACUGAGACACGGCCCAGACUCCUACGGGAGGCAGCAGUGGGGAAUUUUGGACAAUGGGCGAAAGCCUGAUCCAGCAAUGCCGCGUGCAGGAUGAAGGCCUUCGGGUUGUAAACUGCUUUUGUACGGAACGAAAAGCCCCGGGUUAAUACCCUGGGGUCAUGACGGUACCGUAAGAAUAAGCACCGGCUAACUACGUGCCAGCCGCCGCCGUAA